Molecule: ribosomal RNA, 443 nt
Filed under: uncultured bacterium
Lineage: Bacteria
Description: partial 16S ribosomal RNA
Rfam family: Bacterial small subunit ribosomal RNA
Source: RNAcentral
CCUACGGGUGGCAGCAGUGGGGAAUAUUGGGCAAUGGGCGCAAGCCUGACCCAGCAACGCCGCGUGAAGGAAGAAGGCUUUCGGGUUGUAAACUUCUUUUCUCAGGGACGAAGCAAGUGACGGUACCUGAGGAAUAAGCCACGGCUAACUACGUGCCAGCAGCCGCGGUAAUACGUAGGUGGCAAGCGUUAUCCGGAUUUACUGGGUGUAAAGGGAGUGUAGGCGGGACGGCAAGUCAGAUGUGAAAACCACGGGCUCAACCCGUGCCCUGCAGUGGAAACUGGAGUUCUUGAGUACUGGAGAGGCAGACGGAAUUCGUAGUGUAGCGGUGAAAUGCGUAGAUAUGAGGAGGAACACCAGUGGCGAAGGCAGUUUGCUGGAGAGCAACUGACGCUGAGGCGCGAAAGCGUGGGGAGCAAACAGGAUUAGAUACCCGAGUAGUC